UUACCAAAAACAUAGCCCUAGUUAUAAUCUAAGGUGUAACCUGCCCAAUGAUUUUCAAUUAAAAAAGUUUAAAUUAUUUUUAAGAAAAUUUAAAGGACGCGGUAACCUUGACCGUGAUAAUGUAGCGUAAUCACUCGCCAUUUAAUUGAUGGAUAGUAUGAAUGGUUGAACGAAUAUUCCACUGUCUUAAAUAAAGAUAAUAAAAAUUGAAGUAAUAGUAAAGAUGCUAUUUUAAACUGUAAGACGAAAAGACCCUAUAGAGCUUAACUAUAAUCUUUUUAUAUAAUAAUAAAAGUAUUUAUUUAGAAUAAAAAGAAUGGUAGUUUAGUUGGGGCGACUAUCUUCUAGAUUUAACGAAGAUAAGCAAUAUUAAUUUAUAAUUUAUUGUAUAACAAAAAAGUUUAACAAUUACAAUAGUAGGCUAUAAUGACCCGUUUGUGCUUAAAAAUAAGAGAAACGAUCAAUUAAUAAAAGCUACCUUAGGGAUAACAGGAUAAUUUCAUUCUAGAGCUCUAAUCGAAAAUGAAGUUUGUCACCUCUAUGUUGAAUUAAGAUAUCCUGGUAAUGCAGAAGUUACCAAAGGUAGGUCUGUUCGACCUUUAAAAUCUUACAUGAUUUGAGU
RNAcentral lists this ribosomal RNA (622 nucleotides) under Obelia bidentata. Its description in RNAcentral is "partial 16S ribosomal RNA". It matches the Rfam family "Bacterial large subunit ribosomal RNA", at positions 1804 to 2610 of the family's 2925-position model. The record is from RNAcentral. Lineage: Eukaryota; Metazoa; Cnidaria; Hydrozoa; Leptothecata; Obeliidae.